RNAcentral lists this long non-coding RNA (3372 nucleotides) under Glycine max (soybean). RNAcentral describes it as "long non-coding RNA (GMAX_LNC002409)". Lineage: Eukaryota; Viridiplantae; Streptophyta; Magnoliopsida; Fabales; Fabaceae. The record is from RNAcentral.
CUGUUUAUCCGUAUGCUUGCCGGUUUGAAAUUGAACUGGAAACACGGUUUUGAUCUUCAUUUGGACUAAUUCUCAACGAUGGUUUCUUCUUUUUUAUUUAUUUAAAUCAAUAAUAAUUUUCCAUAUUUCGGUAUGGGCGGUCCAACCAUUCAUAUGAGCAUUUCAAGUUUGAAAGGUGAAAGAUCUCUCUCCCCAUGUGAUACUGUAACUCUAACAACUUAUUCAGUCCAACUUUGCAUAGAUGUGACAUUGAUUACUAAAGAGGAAAUAUUGCUAAUCAAAGUGUUCAAAUUUAAUGCACAUGCAGGAAACUAUACGUAUGUAGGGGAACACUCCAUUUUAUGUCUAAGGAGUAUAGCAUAUGGCAUAAUACAAAAUGUUGCUUGAUCCAAAAACACUAAAAUAAGUAAAACAAAAGGAAAGGUUAAGAUGUCAGCAUGAUACGAAACCUUGUGAUGCAACAUGCUCUCUCCAUCUCAUGACUGCAUACCCCUGUACUCUCUGAUCAGUAUCACAUAAUUUAGUUUUUAUCAUGAGAUGUGUGCUAGAAUGUUAUGGUAAAAAUAAUUAUUUAUAAGUUUUAUAGUCACAAUUGCAUAACCUAUCUAGAUAAUAACUAGCAUCAAUAGUCAACUUUUUAAAAUGUUGUAAAUCAUAAUAUAUUCUUAUUUUAUAGAAUACUUUAUUUUAUGUUAAUAUAUUUCAGAUUUUUUACACAGGAGAGGUAAGAUGCAAAAAAAUAAUAGAGACAAGACUAAUUGCAUUUCUUUAUGCAUUUUAUGUUUUUGAAAAACCUGUCUUUUUCUUGCAAGCUGUAUUCGGAAUAUUUUAUUCUAAUAAAUAGUAAUAUUUAAUUUUCAACCUAAAUAUUCACAUCGAUUUGAUGCAGAUUUUGCGCACUCCGUAUGACUUGAUUGAGUUAUGUAGGUUUCAAUUUCUAAUCCGAAGCAUUAAGCAUGUCUAAACAUACACAAUGGCGUAUUGUAAUCAUUUCUCCUUUCUCUGUAAAUAUUUCUAACGCUAUAUAUUUGUCAAAUAUGAUUACCUUAUUAUAUAGUUUUAUUUAUAAUGGAAAACAUGGUAAUAUAAUUAUUUAAGUAAAUAACACUAGAUUUCAAAUAAAAAAACAGUUAAUAAGACUACAAAAUGAAUGUCAUACAUUGUUUAUUUUGUAGUGCACCAUGACUUUGGACUAAGAUAUUGGAUACAUCUCUAGUUAUAAAAAGCUACAUUUGAAGAAUAAUGCAUGAAGUUAUAGGAAUCUAACUGACGAAAGUCUGAUCUCCUGAUUCUAUUAAGUCGUCUCUGGUUUCUGAAAAGUUUUUCAGUUUGGAUUUGACUAGUUAUGGAUUAUAUGUUCAUUAUCUCGGGGAAUUGACACUUCAUUAGCCAAUUAUGUUUAGUUUUCCUCGAUUGCAUGAAGUUUGGAAUUUAUAGAGUUAAAAGCUAGUGUUAAUGCUAUUCUCUCUUCUACAUAAAGAGGUUUUAGUCUUGAGUUUGAAUGUUUUUUAUUUGAUUGGUCAAAGUUCACGGGAAUGAAAUAGAGAUGUCAGAACUUUUAAUUGUUAAUUAAGAACUUUGCGUUGUCGAAUUAUUUUUAUGUUUUCCGUGUUUAUACGCAAAACGUAAUGAACCAAGGAAACAAUCUAUCUGUCAAGAUAUUAUCAUGCUUGGGAUAUGUUUUGAUAGUAAAUGGUAAAAUAUAUUGCAGUCACGUCUAUUAUAGAAGGCAGUGUUAUAAAUUUAUCUACGAGAAAAAAAUAUUAAUUUAAUGGAUGAAUACUGUAGACUUCAUAAAAUGUUGGCAUAUAUAUACAAGCAUUUUAUCCCAAGAUGGUCGAAUUGCAAUUUGUCUUUUGGUUUACUAAUUGGAACUUGUAUGCGCUAUAAAAAAAGUUAAUGUAGAAUCUCUCUUCUUUGUGCUGUGGUUUUGACUUUGUCAUCGUAUCUAUUGAUUUUUUGUUUUUUCAUGAUGAACUUGAGUUGGAAACCUAUCCUAUAAAUGUUAUGCCAGCGACCAUGUUUAUGCCCAAAUGCCUUAUUCAGAUAGCGGUUUACUCUUGUUCUCAAUCAGAAGUAACCACCACAUGUAUACAAGUAAAAAUGCAUAUUUGGUGUGAAACAGUGUACUUAGAAGUACCUUAUCCGAACUUGUCCGUAAGUUCAUUUUCCAGUCUUGGUUGCGGAUGUUGCACAUUAGUCACUUCCUCAAGCAACUUACUGAUAUUUUGGUUGUGUCCUGCUUCAUUGGAAAGUAAGUGUUUUCAGUACGCAACUUAUGAUGAGACUAAGUCGAUAACCAAACUUUAAUUACCACAAGUCACAACUAACAUUGGUAUUGGAUUUCACCUAUAGUAUUCUAUUGGUGCAUUUGCCUCGUACUUCCAUGUUAUUAUAUGAAUGAAUCCCCUCUAGUGCAGGAUUGGUCAUGUUUAAAUAUUGUUAUAAAUUUUAAAUUAUAAAUAUUUCGAUCUAAUACAAUAAGAAAUAAAUACAUGACACAAAUGGGUAUAGAGCAGUAGAAAAGUAUUUUUGCUUUGGUUUCUGACAAGAGAUGCUGCCUCCUAGUGUUUGUCGUACAAAAUUUACCUUCGAAAUAUAAAAUAACAAGCGUUAAUGUGGAUGCAAAAUGGUAGUAUCAUGUGGAACGGCUCUAUAUUUAGCAAUUAAAAGACCUCUACUGUGUAUGUACGUACAAGUUUUGGGCACAAAAUGAAGCCAAAGGAAAUAGGAAUUUGUUAAUUCUUUUGUUUCCCAACUGUAAAAUACUUACUCAGACCACUUUACCAAUUGCCACCGACGUGGGUGAUAGUGGCGACCUCCGUGUUCUUCCCGCUUUAAUUCUUUCUUUCUUUCUUUCUUGGAUUCGUAUUCUUUCUCAUGCAAUGAAAAGUACAAUAGCAUAGUGGACUUGUGCCAGUGCCAACGCGAAAGCAAGGGAAUAAACUCAAACUCCAAUGGCUUCAUUGAUAAAUCUUGGCGUCUAUAUAUUACAAUUCAACUGUAUCCCUUGUUUUGAUUAACAAAUUAUUUUAACAUGGCAGCCUUUUGUUAUUUAGCCCUAGCAUAUUGAGCUCUAUUAAAAAAACUCAAAAUAACACGAAAAUCCAGCUUGUAUUUGAGUUUUUGCCCUGGUUAAAUUGUUUUGCAGAUAUGAAAGGUUCUUUUUAUCAUAGACGCAUAACGGAUUGUUACUACAUUAAUUUGAAGUUAAAAGUACUAAAACUGACAGACAUAUGAGGGGAUAGCAUAUAUAUACACACACCUUGAUUUCAUAGCCGCAGCGUUUGAAAACUCUAAUGAAAACAGCUUCCCGGUGUCACAAGGAUCGAUCAUAUAUAAGCUAGGCCUCAGUAGUGGUUUAUGGUGUUG